Long non-coding RNA from Bubalus bubalis (water buffalo), 294 nucleotides. RefSeq lists it as uncharacterized. The transcript has 3 exons. Lineage: Eukaryota; Metazoa; Chordata; Mammalia; Artiodactyla; Bovidae. The record is from RefSeq and is a predicted model, not a curated record.
GUUUUUGGCUUCUCUUUGGAACAGGCUUUGAGAUGAAUCACGUUUGUGGAUGAGGCCCCUGAUGUUCUGUUUAUUGUGACGCUUUGGUGCUUGAGAGCCAAAGGUCAAAGGAAAGACCCACACUGUGCCCUGACAGUAACCUCCUUGGAUCAUGAGGUACAAGGAGACGUCCCCCUCUCCACCAACACAGAGGAGGAACUUAUGAUGGAAGCAUAAUGUCUACUCAAGAAUGAGGAAGAAGAUGCCACGUAUAAGGGAUGUCAUAAGCUGAGCGCCGAAGAAUUGAUGCCUUUG